GUGGGGAAUAUUGGGCAAUGGGCGCAAGCCUGACCCAGCAACGCCGCGUGAAGGAAGAAGGCUUUCGGGUUGUAAACUUCUUUUAUGAGGGACGAAUAGAUGACGGUACCUCAUGAAUAAGCCACGGCUAACUACGUGCCAGCAGCCGCGGUAAUACGUAGGUGGCAAGCGUUAUCCGGAUUUACUGGGUGUAAAGGGCGUGUAGGCGGGACGGUAAGUCAGAUGUGAAAUGUAGGGGCUCAACCCCUGAACUGCAUUUGAAACUAUCGUUCUUGAGUGAUGGAGAGGCAGGCGGAAUUCCGUGUGUAGCGGUGAAAUGCGUAGAUAUACGGAGGAACACCAGUGGCGAAGGCGGCCUGCUGGACAUUAACUGACGCUGAGGCGCGAAAGCGUGGGGAGCAAACAGGAUUAGAAACCCGGGUAGUCC
RNAcentral lists this ribosomal RNA (427 nucleotides) under uncultured bacterium. RNAcentral's name for it is "partial 16S ribosomal RNA". It matches the Rfam family "Bacterial small subunit ribosomal RNA", at positions 354 to 796 of the family's 1533-position model. The record is from RNAcentral.